RNAcentral lists this ribosomal RNA (490 nucleotides) under uncultured bacterium. Its description in RNAcentral is "partial 16S ribosomal RNA". It matches the Rfam family "Bacterial small subunit ribosomal RNA", at positions 30 to 507 of the family's 1533-position model. The record is from RNAcentral.
AUUGAACGCUGGCGGCAGGCCUAACACAUGCAAGUCGAACGGUAACAGGAAGAAGCUUGCUUCUUUGCUGACGAGUGGCGGACGGGUGAGUAAUGUCUGGGAAACUGCCUGAUGGAGGGGGAUAACUACUGGAAACGGUAGCUAAUACCGCAUAACGUCGCAAGACCAAAAAGGGGGACCUUCGGGCCUCUUGCCAUCGGAUGUGCCCAGAUGGGAUUAGCUAGUAGGUGGGGUAACGGCUCACCUAGGCGACGAUCCCUAGCUGGUCUGAGAGGAUGACCAGCCACACUGGAACUGAGACACGGUCCAGUCUCCUACGGGAGGCAGCAGUGGGGAAUAUUGCACAAUGGGCGCAAGCCUGAUGCAGCCAUGCCGCGUGUAUGAAGAAGGCCUUCGGGUUGUAAAGUACUUUCAGCGGGGAGGAAGGGAGUAAAGUUAAUACCUUUGCUCAUUGACGUUACCCGCAGAAGAAGCACCGGCUAACUCCGUG